GCCAUGUGAAGACCAUGAUUGCUCUCCCUUCAGCCUUCCACCUUUGUAAGUUUCCUGAGGCCUCCCCAGAAGCAGAAGCCUGCGUAGUCUGCAGAACUGGAAGAAAAAGAGAAUAUAAAGAGAAGAAGGAGAGAAUGUUCCAGCAGCAAUGAAGCAGAACCAGCUUUUGUGAGGACUGGUGCACAAAGACUCCAUCUAACAGCUACCCGUAUUUCCUGACAGUGACUCCGAAAGGUAUCCCAAUACCUAAAUACACAGAAAUUACUGGAAGAAAUAUUCAAUCUGGCGUGAUAUACUAGG
Gorilla gorilla gorilla (western lowland gorilla) is the source of this 300-nucleotide long non-coding RNA. RefSeq lists it as uncharacterized. The transcript is spliced from 4 exons. The record is from RefSeq and is a predicted model, not a curated record. NCBI's taxonomy places the organism in Eukaryota, Metazoa, Chordata, Mammalia, Primates, Hominidae.